ACGCAGCAAGCUGCGAUACCUAGUGUGAAUUGCAGAAUUCAGUGAAUCAUCGAGUCUUUGAACGCAAAUGGCGCUCCCGGGGUCUCCUCGGGAGCAGGUCUGUCCGAGCGUCUGCCAACCAAAUGCAUUGUCACCAUACCGGUGACAAGAGUGAGGAGCUGCGAAUGCAACCACCUGGUUACACUGCACUCCUUGAAAAAAGCUACCCUGUGCAACACCACAUUGUGACAAGGCAGUCUCUCAGAAGACAGUCGUCACAACGGUAUAACAGGUUGUUUCGCUGUCUCUCGUUGAGCCUGCAACUUGUCCUUGUGUG
This 316-nucleotide unclassified non-coding RNA is filed under the name Fascaplysinopsis reticulata. RNAcentral's name for it is "sequence contains ITS1, 5.8S rRNA gene, ITS2". The stretch from base 1 to 113 matches the Rfam family "5.8S ribosomal RNA", at positions 43 to 154 of the family's 154-position model. The record is from RNAcentral. Lineage: Eukaryota; Metazoa; Porifera; Demospongiae; Dictyoceratida; Thorectidae.